GGGAAAGGGGAAGUGUGUGCUGGACUAUAUGAUUUUGUAAGAGACUGUGUUCAUCCAGAUGUAAAGAGAAACUUCUGUUUGAAAAUAGGAAAAAUCUGAUGUGACUUUCUUUCCUUUUUUUCAAAUUUGUCUAGCUGAAUUGGAUUAAGUUUCAUUUUGUUGACUGCCAGACAGUAGAAGUACAUGACUGUUCUGCUCAUAAUAACUACACUUUUUAUUGGAAACAAGAUGUCAUUUACCACAAUACUAAACACAUCUUGUGGAAAGCAUAUUACACCUUUUCUACCAGAUGAAGAAAAAGGCCCCCAUGCUCUUGUCCUGAGCUCAAGAAGAAGGCAAACAAGAGAAAGAGAAGAGCUACAUUCCUCUCCUCCUCCCUGUUGACUCUAAUCUCUCCUUUAAAAUGGCUCGCACAAAGGGCCAGCAGAGACUAGCUAAUUAGCAACACUUUAGGCCUCUGCAGCUUUUGUAGGUUUGGUGUGUAAAUGUGUGAGUUCAUUGUGUGCAUCCUGGGCUCUCAACUGUUUCCAGGGUAACUGCUUGCUUCGUGGCCUCAGAGGCGUCGCACUUUUUGUCUUUUAGGAUUUCUCCUGUUCCCCUCGUUGCGUCCAUAUCUUUCUGUGAGUCUGGAGUUGGGAAACAAAGAGUGUGAGGCUUAAGAAAAAAAAAAAAAGGAGAGAUCACUGCUUCAGUCAGGUUUUAGAGAUUAUCAUUGCACCUAAACAGCAUUAGUGAAACUCACUAUAGAUGUUUUUGUUGCCUCAGAUGAUGAAUGGACUUUCUUUUAGUAUUAUUGUAGAAUUCUUGUCCUGCAAGAUCUCGGUGCUGCAUUUGAUAAAGUUGAAGGCAAUAAUCUUACAGAGGCUUGAGCAUGGUCUAGGGAUUAAGACAACGGCACUAAGUUUAGAUUAUAAUCGGUGGAAAUAUACCUGUUUCUCUAUGUCAAUAAAUUUUUCUCACUCCUUUUAGUUAAUUAUGGAGUGCCACAGAGUCCAGGGCUUGGGCCAGUACUUUUUAUCAUAUAUAAUGCUUUAUCUUGGUAAAACUGUCACAUAACCAGUGAUAUGUUACUAUUGUUUAUUGUUCAUUUAUGGUUAAUGAUGCUCCAAUAUUAUAAUAAAUCAAGCCUGAUGAAUUCUGUCA
Molecule: long non-coding RNA, 1143 nt
Organism: Xiphophorus couchianus (Monterrey platyfish)
Lineage: Eukaryota; Metazoa; Chordata; Actinopteri; Cyprinodontiformes; Poeciliidae
Exons: 2
Source: RefSeq, a predicted model, not a curated record